CCUACGGGUGGCAGCAGUCGAGAAUCAUUCACAAUGGGGGAAACCCUGAUGGUGCGACGCCGCGUGGGGGAAUGAAGUUCUUCGGAUUGUAAACCCCUGUCAUGUGGGAGCAAAUUAAAAAGAUAGUACCACAAUAGGAAGAGACGGCUAACUCUGUGCCAGCAGCCGCGGUAAUACAGAGGUCUCAAGCGUUGUUCGGAAUCACUGGGCGUAAAGCGUGCGUAGGCUGUUUCGUAAGGCGGGGGUGAAAGGCGCGGGCUCAACCCGCGGACGGCACAUGAUACUGCGAGACUAGAGUAAGGGAGGGGGAACCGGAAUUCUCGGUGGAGCAGGGAAAUGCGUAGAUAUCGAGAGGAACACUCGUGGCGAAGGCGGGUUCCUGGACAUUAACUGACGCUGAGGCACGAAGGCCAGGGGAGCGAAAGGGAUUAGAUACCCGAGUAGUC
Molecule: ribosomal RNA, 446 nt
Filed under: uncultured bacterium
Lineage: Bacteria
Description: partial 16S ribosomal RNA
Rfam family: Bacterial small subunit ribosomal RNA
Source: RNAcentral